CUCCGGUUGAUCCCGCCCGGACCUGACUGCUAUCGGAUUGGUACUAAGCCAUGCGAGUCAUUGUAGCAAUACAAGGCGGACGGCUCAGUAACACGUAGUCAACCUAACUCGUGGACGUGGAUAACCUCGGGAAACUGAGAAUAAACCACGAUAGAUCAUAGUGCCUGGAAUGGCUUAUGGUCCAAACAGUUUACUGCCAUGGGAUGGGACUGCGGCCUAUCAGCUUGUUGGUGAGGUAAUGGCCCACCAAGGCUAUAACAGGUACGGGCUCUGAGAGGAGAAGCCCGGAGAUGGGUACUGAGACACGGACCCAGGCCCUAUGGGGCGCAGCAGGCGAGAAACCUUAGCAAUGUGCGAAAGCACGACUAGGUUAAUCCGAGUGAUUUCUGUUGAAGAAAUCUUUUGUCAGUCGUAAAACCACAGACGAAUAAGGGGUGGGCAAGUCUGGUGUCAGCCGCCGCGGUAAUACCAGCACCUCGAGUGGUCAGGAGGUUUAUUGGGCCUAAAGCAUCCGUAGCCGGCUACGCAAGUCUCCGGUUAAAUCCAGCUGCUCAACAGAUGGGCUGCCGGAGAUACUACAUAGCUAGGGAGCGGGAGAGGUAGACGGUAUUCUGUGGGUAGGGGUAAAAUCCACUGAUCCAUAGAGGACCACCAGUGGCGAAGGCGGUCUACCAGAACGCGUUCGACGGUGAGGGAUGAAAGCUGGGGGAGCAAACCGGAUUAGAUACCCGGGUAGUCCCAGCUGUAAACGAUGCAAACUCGGUGAUGCAUUGGCUUAUGGCCAAUGCAGUGCCGCAGGGAAGCCGUUAAGUUUGCCGCCUGGGAAGUACGGACGCAAGUCUGAAACUUAAAGGAUUGGCGGGGGAGCA
This 869-nucleotide ribosomal RNA is filed under the name uncultured archaeon. RNAcentral's name for it is "bacterial SSU rRNA". It matches the Rfam family "Archaeal small subunit ribosomal RNA", at positions 1 to 878 of the family's 1478-position model. The record is from RNAcentral.